RNAcentral lists this ribosomal RNA (451 nucleotides) under Torulaspora delbrueckii. RNAcentral's name for it is "partial 21S ribosomal RNA". The stretch from base 287 to 447 matches the Rfam family "Bacterial large subunit ribosomal RNA", at positions 2473 to 2632 of the family's 2925-position model. The record is from RNAcentral. Lineage: Eukaryota; Fungi; Ascomycota; Saccharomycetes; Saccharomycetales; Saccharomycetaceae.
AUAGGAAUAUAUUUCUUUAAAGAAAAUUUUAUUUUUUUUUUAAAGUUAUAUAUUUUAGUAAUAGAAAAAAUCAUGUAUAGUAAAAUUGUCUAGAAAACAAUAAUAAUAAUAUUAUUUCUAUUUAGUAGAAAUUUAUAUUAUAUAAUAAAAUGUAUUAAAUUAAUAUAAUGGUAUAACUAUGCAACAAUUAUAACACAAACAAGUGAAAUAAGUACGUAAGUAUGGCAUAAUGAACAAAUAACACUGAUUGUAAUGGUUAUUGAUAACGAAUAAAAGUUACGCUAGGGAUAACAGGGUAAUAUAGCGAAAGAGUAGAUAUUGUAAGCUAUGUUUGCCACCUCGAUGUCGACUCUACCUAUCCUCUUGGUUGUAAAUGCUAAGAAGGGUUUGACUGUUCGUCAAUUAAAAGGUAACGUGAGUUGGGUUAAAUACGAUGUAAAUCAGUAUGGUU